GAACGCACAUUGCGCCCUAUAGCAUUCUGUAGGGCAUGCCUGUCUGAGCAUCAUAAUAUCUACUCAGAUCUUUGAUUAUUUUAUAUAGUCUUGGAUUUGGAUUUAAUCAGAGAAGUAACCUAUAUGAGUAGAUUACUCUUUGGAAAAAUAAAGGCAGUUAUAGUGAAACCUGUAUUAAACGUGAUAUUAAAAAGUUUCGUUUUUAAGGACUACAUCUUUGACUUGCCUUUAACCCACUUAAUUCUUUUUGAUUGACCUCAGAUCAGGUAGGGAUACCCGCUGAACUUA
RNAcentral lists this unclassified non-coding RNA (288 nucleotides) under Paragalactinia michelii. RNAcentral's name for it is "sequence contains 5.8S rRNA gene". Lineage: Eukaryota; Fungi; Ascomycota; Pezizomycetes; Pezizales; Pezizaceae. The record is from RNAcentral.